CUGAUGUGUCAAUUCCACAGUUACACCGCAUGGAAUUAUGGGAUUGCUUUCAGAUGUCUAUCACUGUGGCACACUGGAAGUUACGAGGUGAUGAUUGGUGUGUGUUAUGUUGUGACUGCAGUGGAGACACGUGGCUCUGUCCCUCACUGCUGUCCUGCAGCUCAGCUCCAUGUCUGAUGUCCUCCAUGAGGUUUCGCUGCACUGAGCUACACAACAGACCACAAGCUCUUGUAAAGUUUAGAUUCUUCAUUCUGGGAGCUUUCUUCAAAGAUAUGCGGUUAGGUCAACAUGGGGCAACCUUGGGCUGAAGUGCCCCGAGUGAGGCACCCUGGGUGCUGGAGCAUAGCUGCCCACUCUCUCUCGCUCUGUGUGUGUGUGUGUGUGUGUGUGUGUUCAUUGCUCACUUGUGUGUGGUAGGUGUGUGUGUUCACUGCUUCAGAUGGGUUAAAUGCAGAGAAGAAAUGUCACUGUGCUUGAGUGUACAUGUGACAAAUAAAGGCUUCUUCUUCUA
This is a long non-coding RNA of Neoarius graeffei (lesser salmon catfish), 511 nucleotides long. RefSeq lists it as uncharacterized. Lineage: Eukaryota; Metazoa; Chordata; Actinopteri; Siluriformes; Ariidae. The record is from RefSeq and is a predicted model, not a curated record. The transcript is spliced from 2 exons.